CAGAAACAGAGAUAAUGCCUAGUUUUUUCAUAUCUUCCGUAACUGAUGUAACUGGCGCAACGGAAAGACAUUAGCAUAAAAUGUGGUGCAAGCUGUGCCGCACACAGCAGCUCCUAGAAGGUGAAGGGAGCUUGAAGGGAUGGUCAAAUGGGAACCGAAGAAAGAGUAGCAAUGUGCUUACACACAAACAAGUUUCUGGACAUCAAGACUAGACAGACUGGACAGUCAAGACUAGAGCAGAAGGCUAAAAGUAGACUUGGAAAGAAGAGGAAUGAUCAACAAAAAUAAAAGUGUUAAACAAAA
Suricata suricatta (meerkat) is the source of this 303-nucleotide long non-coding RNA. RefSeq lists it as uncharacterized. Lineage: Eukaryota; Metazoa; Chordata; Mammalia; Carnivora; Herpestidae. The transcript is spliced from 2 exons. The record is from RefSeq and is a predicted model, not a curated record.